UCCUCCAAAUGCAGUUCCGGAGUGGAGGCGUGCUCGCACCCGGGGAGAGAGCCAGAAAGCUGAGCCGCGGCGCCCCAGCGAGAGCACGAGGCCCCGGGUCUGGACUCCGCCACCACGCUCCUCUGCGGCCCCUUCCUGGUGUCUGCCAGCCCGCGGGGCCCAGGCGCGGUCCGCCUUCCUCCCAGCCCCGGGGAACGCGCG
Molecule: long non-coding RNA, 201 nt
Filed under: Homo sapiens (human)
Lineage: Eukaryota; Metazoa; Chordata; Mammalia; Primates; Hominidae
Description: long non-coding RNA NONHSAT194729
Source: RNAcentral